This 386-nucleotide ribosomal RNA is filed under the name uncultured archaeon. RNAcentral describes it as "bacterial SSU rRNA". It matches the Rfam family "Archaeal small subunit ribosomal RNA", at positions 350 to 743 of the family's 1478-position model. The record is from RNAcentral.
UUACCAUGCGGGCAACCGUGAUAAGGAACCCGAGUGCCAGCACAGGCUGGCUGUCCGCCAGUUUAAAUAACUGGUGAAGAAAGGGCCGGGCAAGACCGGUGCCAGCCGCCGCGGUAAUACCGGCGGCUCGAGUGGUGGCCGCUAUUACUGGGCUUAAAGGGUCCGUAGCUUGAUAACUGGGUCCCUUGAGAAAUCCGCCAGCUUAACUGGCGGGCGUUCAGGGGGAAACUUGUUUCUAGGGACCGGGAGAGGUGAGGGGUACUGCCGGGGUAGGAGUGAAAUCUUGUAAUCCUUGAAGGACCACCAGUGGCGAAGGCGUCUCACCAGAACGGACCUGACGGCAAGGGACGAAGCUAGGGGCACGAACCGGAUUAGAUACCCCUGUA